ACGUCAGCGGCGGACGGGUGAGUAACACGUGGGAAACCUGCCUCACAGACUGGGAUAACUCCGGGAAACCGGGGCUAAUACCGGAUAAUCAAAGGAACCGCAUGGUUCCCUUGUAAAAGUUGGGUUUUACCUAACACUGUGAGAUGGGCCCGCGGCGCAUUAGCUUGUUGGUGAGGUAGUGGCUCACCAAGGCGACGAUGCGUAGCCGACCUGAGAGGGUGAUCGGCCACACUGGGACUGAGACACGGCCCAGACUCCUACGGGAGGCAGCAGUAGGGAAUCAUCCGCAAUGGGCGAAAGCCUGACGGUGCAACGCCGCGUGAGUGAUGACGGUCUUCGGAUUGUAAAGCUCUGUUGUCAGGGAAGAACAAGUGCCGUGCGAAUAGAGCGGCACCUUGACGGUACCUGACCAGAAAGCCCCGGCUAACUACGUGCCAGCAGCCGCGGUAAUACGUAGGGGGCAAGCGUUGUCCGGAAUUAUUGGGCGUAAAGCGCGCGCAGGCGGUUCUUUAAGUCUGAUGUGAAAGCCCACGGCUCAACCGUGGAGGGUCAUUGGAAACUGGGGAACUUGAGUGUAGGAGAGGAAAGUGGAAUACCAAGUGUAGCGGUGAAAUGCGUAGAUAUUUGGUGGAACACCAGUGGCGAAGGCGACUUUCUGGCCUACAACUGACGCUGAGGCGCGAAAGCGUGGGGAGCAAACAGGAUUAGAUACCCUGGUAGUCCACGCCGUAAACGAUGAGUGCUAGGUGUUAGGGGUUUCGAUACCCUUAGUGCCGAAGUUAACACAUUAAGCACUCCGCCUGGGGAGUACGGCCGCAAGGCUGAAACUCAAAGGAAUUGACGGGGGCCCGCACAAGCAGUGGAGCAUGUGGUUUAAUUCGAAGCAACGCGAAGAACCUUACCAGGUCUUGACAUCCUCUGACAACCCUAGAAAUAGGGCGUUCCCCUUCGGGGGACAGAGUGACAGGUGGUGCAUGGUUGUCGUCAGCUCGUGUCGUGAGAUGUUGGGUUAAGUCCCGCAACGAGCGCAACCUUUGACCUUAGUUGCCAGCAUUUAGUUGGGCACUCUAAGGUGACUGCCGG
Molecule: ribosomal RNA, 1083 nt
Filed under: Alteribacter aurantiacus
Lineage: Bacteria; Bacillati; Bacillota; Bacilli; Caryophanales; Bacillaceae
Description: bacterial SSU rRNA
Rfam family: Bacterial small subunit ribosomal RNA
Source: RNAcentral